This 373-nucleotide unclassified non-coding RNA is filed under the name soil metagenome. RNAcentral's name for it is "partial contains 5.8S ribosomal RNA, internal transcribed spacer 2, and large subunit ribosomal RNA". The stretch from base 1 to 121 matches the Rfam family "5.8S ribosomal RNA", at positions 35 to 154 of the family's 154-position model. The record is from RNAcentral.
GAUGAAGAACGCAGCGAAAUGCGAUAAGUAAUGCGAAUUGCAGAAUUCCAGUGAGUCAUCGAAUCUUUGAACGCACAUUGCGCCCUUUGGUAUUCCGAAGGGCAUGCCUGUUCGAGCGUCAUUAUCACCCCUCAAGCCCUCGGCUUGGUGUUGGACGGUUUGGUGGAGGCCCCCUCGGGGGUUCCUGCCCCUCCCAAAGACAAUGACGGCGGCCUCGUUGGACCCCCGGUACACUGAGUUCUUCACGGGACACGUAUCGGACACAUGGGUUUACGGGACACGGUCUGCCUCCCCUCAGGGAGAAUCUUUCUAAGGUUGACCUCGGAUCAGGUAGGGAUACCCGCUGAACUUAAGCAUAUCAAUAAGAGGAGGA